This 370-nucleotide ribosomal RNA is filed under the name uncultured bacterium. Its description in RNAcentral is "bacterial SSU rRNA". It matches the Rfam family "Bacterial small subunit ribosomal RNA", at positions 527 to 896 of the family's 1533-position model. The record is from RNAcentral.
GGAAUGUGCAAACGUUAUUCGGAAUCACUGGGCUUAAAGAGUCCGUAGGCGGCAUGUUAGGUGAGGUGUGAAAUCCCCCGGCUCAACCGAGGAAUUGCGCUUCAAACCGGCGUGCUAGAGGAAGAUAGAGGUGGGCGGAACUGAUGGUGGAGCGGUGAAAUGCGUUGAUAUCAUCAGGAACACCGGAGGCGAAAGCGGCCCACUGGGUCUUAUCUGACGCUGAGGGACGAAAGCUAGGGGAGCGAACGGGAUUAGAUACCCCGGUAGUCCUAGCCUUAAACGAUGAGCACUAGACCGAAGGAUCUCCACGAUUUUUUGGUCGUAGCGAAAGUGUUAAGUGCUCCGCCUGGGGAGUAUGGUCGCAAGGCUG